This 234-nucleotide ribosomal RNA is filed under the name uncultured bacterium. RNAcentral's name for it is "partial 16S ribosomal RNA". It matches the Rfam family "Bacterial small subunit ribosomal RNA", at positions 105 to 334 of the family's 1533-position model. The record is from RNAcentral.
CGCACGGUGAGUAACACGUAUCCAACCUGCCGUCUACUCUUGGACAGCCUUCUGAAAGGAAGAUUAAUACAAGAUGGCAUCAUGAGUUCACAUGUUCACAUGAUUAAAGGUAUUCCGGUAGACGAUGGGGAUGCGUUCCAUUAGAUAGUAGGCGGGGUAACGGCCCACCUAGUCUUCGAUGGAUAGGGGUUCUGAGAGGAAGGUCCCCCACAUUGGAACUGAGACACGGUCCAA